RNAcentral lists this ribosomal RNA (253 nucleotides) under uncultured bacterium. RNAcentral describes it as "partial 16S ribosomal RNA". It matches the Rfam family "Bacterial small subunit ribosomal RNA", at positions 524 to 776 of the family's 1533-position model. The record is from RNAcentral.
UACAGAGGUGGCAAGCGUUGUUCGGAAUUACUGGGCGUAAAGCGUGCGCAGGCGGCUUCUCAAGUCAGGGGUGAAAGCCCAGAGCUCAACUCUGGAAUUGCCUUUGAGACUGAGUGGCUUGAGUACGAGAGAGGUGAGUGGAAUUCCCAGUGUAGAGGUGAAAUUCGUAGAUAUUGGGAAGAACACCGGUGGCGAAGGCGGCUCACUGGCUCGUAACUGACGCUCAUGCACGACAGCGUGGGGAUCAAACAGG